GACGAACCGUACGAACGUUAUUCGGAAUUACUGGGCUUAAAGGGUGCGUAGGCUGUGCGGAAAGUUGGGCGUGAAAUACCUCAGCUUAACUGAGGAACUGCGUUCAAAACUACCGUGCUUGAGGGAGACAGAGGUAAGCGGAACUGAGGGUGGAGCGGUGAAAUGCGUUGAUAUCCUCAGGAACACCGGUGGCGAAAGCGGCUUACUGGGUCUCUUCUGACGCUGAUGCACGAAAGCUAGGGUAGCAAACGGG
RNAcentral lists this ribosomal RNA (253 nucleotides) under uncultured bacterium. Its description in RNAcentral is "partial 16S ribosomal RNA". It matches the Rfam family "Bacterial small subunit ribosomal RNA", at positions 524 to 776 of the family's 1533-position model. The record is from RNAcentral.